GUCUACGGCCAUGCUGCCCUGAACAAGCCUGAUCCCGUCUGAUCUCGGAAGCUAAGCAGGGUCGGGCCUGGUUAGUACUUGGAUGGGAGACCACCUAGGAAGACCAGGUGCUGUAGGCG
This 119-nucleotide ribosomal RNA is filed under the name Pteropus alecto (black flying fox). The record is from RNAcentral. Lineage: Eukaryota; Metazoa; Chordata; Mammalia; Chiroptera; Pteropodidae.